Molecule: unclassified non-coding RNA, 320 nt
Filed under: plant metagenome
Description: partial contains 5.8S ribosomal RNA, internal transcribed spacer 2, and large subunit ribosomal RNA
Rfam family: 5.8S ribosomal RNA (bases 1-105)
Source: RNAcentral
GAAAUGCGAUAAGUAAUGUGAAUUGCAGAAUUCAGUGAAUCAUCGAAUCUUUGAACGCACAUUGCGCCCGCCAGUAUUCUGGCGGGCAUGCCUGUUCGAGCGUCAUUACAACCCUCAGGCCCCCGGGCCUGGCGUUGGGGAUCGGCGGAAGCCCCCUGCGGGCACAACGCCGUCCCCCAAAUACAGUGGCGGUCCCGCCGCAGCUUCCAUUGCGUAGUAGCUAACACCUCGCGACUGGAGAGCGGCGCGGCCACGCCGUAAAACACCCAACUUCUGAAUGUUGACCUCGAAUCAGGUAGGAAUACCCGCUGAACUUAAGC